UACGACACCCGUCCCCUUUGAUUAACAAGACCUUUUUGGCUUUGUUCUGAAUGAUGUGUAGAUUGCCAGCGCAUGCCCAGCCAUGGCACCCCGGUGAAGACUGAGGGUAGAGGAGAGGGAUGUCUCCUGGUGCUCCGGUCACUGACAUCUGGACUUUCCCAGCAAGCCUUUAAGAUGCCAGAGUCCUCAAGGGACGCCAGAUGGCAACCAAGUUCUUCAUCAGGGCCGGUCCUGAAACGGGAGCAGAAAGCACAAAAUGCAUUACAG
Long non-coding RNA from Orcinus orca (killer whale), 267 nucleotides. RefSeq lists it as uncharacterized. The transcript has 3 exons. Lineage: Eukaryota; Metazoa; Chordata; Mammalia; Artiodactyla; Delphinidae. The record is from RefSeq and is a predicted model, not a curated record.